This 497-nucleotide ribosomal RNA is filed under the name uncultured bacterium. RNAcentral describes it as "partial 16S ribosomal RNA". It matches the Rfam family "Bacterial small subunit ribosomal RNA", at positions 28 to 507 of the family's 1533-position model. The record is from RNAcentral.
GAUGAACGCUGGCGGCGUGCCUAAUACAUGCAAGUCGAGCGAACAGACGAGGAGCUUGCUCCUCUGACGUUAGCGGCGGACGGGUGAGUAACACGUGGAUAACCUACCUAUAAGACUGGGAUAACUUCGGGAAACCGGAGCUAAUACCGGAUAAUAUCUUGAACCGCAUGGUUCAAUAGUGAAAGACGGUUUUGCUGUCACUUAUAGAUGGAUCCGCGCCGCAUUAGCUAGUUGGUAAGGUAACGGCUUACCAAGGCAACGAUGCGUAGCCGACCUGAGAGGGUGAUCGGCCACACUGGAACGGAGACACGGUCCAGACUCCUACGGGAGGCAGCAGUAGGGAAUCUUCCGCAAUGGGCGAAAGCCUGACGGAGCAACGCCGCGUGAGUGAUGAAGGUCUUCGGAUCGUAAAACUCUGUUAUUAGGGAAGAACAAAUGUGUAAGUAACUAUGCACGUCUUGACGGUACCUAAUCAGAAAGCCACGGCUAACUACGUG